CUACGGGAGGCUGCAGUGGGGAAUAUUGGACAAUGGGGGGAACCCUGAUCCAGCCAUGCCGCGUGUGUGAAGAAGGCCCUCGGGUUGUAAAGCACUUUCAGUGAGGAAGAACGCCUGGUGGUUAAUACCCAUCAGGAAAGACAUCACUCACAGAAGAAGCACCGGCUAACUCCGUGCCAGCAGCCGCGGUAAUACGGAGGGUGCGAGCGUUAAUCGGAAUUACUGGGCGUAAAGCGCGCGUAGGUGGCUUGAUAAGCCGGUUGUGAAAGCCCCGGGCUCAACCUGGGAACGGCAUCCGGAACUGUCAAGCUAGAGUGCAGGAGAGGAAGGUAGAAUUCCCGGUGUAGCGGUGAAAUGCGUAGAGAUCGGGAGGAAUACCAGUGGCGAAGGCGGCCUUCUGGACUGACACUGACACUGAGGUGCGAAAGCGUGGGUAGCAAACAGGAUUAGAUACCCUUGUAGUC
RNAcentral lists this ribosomal RNA (464 nucleotides) under Vreelandella stevensii. Its description in RNAcentral is "partial 16S ribosomal RNA". It matches the Rfam family "Bacterial small subunit ribosomal RNA", at positions 339 to 795 of the family's 1533-position model. Lineage: Bacteria; Pseudomonadati; Pseudomonadota; Gammaproteobacteria; Oceanospirillales; Halomonadaceae. The record is from RNAcentral.